GACGAACGCUGGCGGCAUGCCUAACACAUGCAAGUCGAGCGAGUAGAUCCCUUCGGGGUGAAGCUAGCGGCGGACGGGUGAGUAACACGUGGGCAACCUGCCUCAUAGAGGGGAAUAGCCUUCCGAAAGGAAGAUUAAUACCGCAUAAGAUUGUAGUACCGCAUGGUAUAGCAAUUAAAGGAGUAAUCCGCUAUGAGAUGGGCCCGCGGCGCAUUAGCUAGUUGGUGAGGUAACGGCUCACCAAGGCGACGAUGCGUAGCCGACCUGAGAGGGUGAUCGGCCACAUUGGGGCUGAGACACGGCCCAGACUCGUACGGGAGGCAGCAGUGGGGAAUAUUGCACAAUGGGGGAAACCCUGAUGCAGCAAUGCCGCGUGAGUGAUGACGGCCUUCGGGUUGUAAAGCUCUGUCUUCAGGGACGAUAAUGACGGUACCCGAGGAGGAAGCCACGGCUAACUACGUGCCAGCAGCCGCGGUAA
RNAcentral lists this ribosomal RNA (478 nucleotides) under uncultured bacterium. RNAcentral's name for it is "partial 16S ribosomal RNA". It matches the Rfam family "Bacterial small subunit ribosomal RNA", at positions 28 to 523 of the family's 1533-position model. The record is from RNAcentral.